Molecule: ribosomal RNA, 252 nt
Filed under: uncultured bacterium
Lineage: Bacteria
Description: partial 16S ribosomal RNA
Rfam family: Bacterial small subunit ribosomal RNA
Source: RNAcentral
UACGAAGGGGGCUAGCGUUGCUCGGAAUUACUGGGCGUAAAGGGAGCGUAGGCGGAUAGUUUAGUCAGAGGUGAAAGCCCAGGGCUCAACCCUGGAAUUGCCUUUGAUACUGGCUAUCUUGAGUAUGGGAGAGGUUAGCGGAACUCCGAGUGUAGAGGUGAAAUUCGUAGAUAUUCGCAAGAACACCAGUGGCGAAGGCGGCUCACUGGCCCGAUACUGACGCUGAGGCACGAAAGCGUGGGGAGCAACAGG